UUUACGGUGAACCGCGAACGGCUCAUUACAACAGCUAUUAUAUACUUGAUGUUGAUUUCCUACGUGGAUAACUGUGGUAAUUCUAGAGCUAAUACAUGCACCAAAGCUCCGAUUUUUUGACGAGCGCAUCUAUUAGAUUAAAACCAAUCGGGCUCCGGCUCGUUCAUUGGUGACUCUGAAUAGCUAUCGCUGAUCGCAUGGUCUUGUACCGGCGACGUGUCAAUCAAGUGUCUGCCUUAUCAACUUUCGAUGGUAGUUUAUGUGCCUACCAUGGUUGUAACGGGUAACGGAGAAUAAGGGUUCGACUCCGGAGAGGGAGCCUGAGAAACGGCUACCACAUCCAAGGAAGGCAGCAGGCGCGCAAAUUACCCACUCUCGGCAUGAGGAGGUAGUGACGAAAAAUAACGAGACCGUUCUCUAUGAGGCCGGUUAUCGGAAUGGGUACAAUUUAAACCCGUUAACGAGGAUCUAUGAGAGGGCAAGUCUGGUGCCAGCAGCCGCGGUAAUUCCAGCUCUCAAAGUGUAUAUCGUCAUUGCUGCGGUUAAAAAGCUCGUAGUUGGAUCUUCGCUUCAGGACCUGGUCCACCUUUUCGGUGAGAACUGGGCUCCUUGGCUAGUUCUGCUGGUUUUCCCUACGUUGCCUUCACCGGUCGCGUAGGGUGGCUAGCGAGUUUACUUUGAAAAAAUUAGAGUGCUUCACGCGGGCUAUUGUCUGAAUACUCGUGCAUGGAAUAAUAGAAUAGGAUCUCGGUUCUAUUUUGUUGGUUUUCUGAACUGAGAUAAUGGUUAAGAGGGACGGACGGGGGCAUUCGUAUCGCUGCGUGAGAGGUGAAAUUCUUGGACCGUAGCGAGACGUCCGACUGCGAAAGCAUUUGCCAAGAAUUCUCAUAAU
Molecule: ribosomal RNA, 892 nt
Filed under: Carnoya mexicana
Lineage: Eukaryota; Metazoa; Nematoda; Chromadorea; Rhabditida; Carnoyidae
Description: SSU rRNA
Rfam family: Eukaryotic small subunit ribosomal RNA
Source: RNAcentral